UACGUAGGGUGCAAGCGUUAAUCGGAAUUACUGGGCGUAAAGCGUGCGCAGGCGGUGUUGUAAGACAGAUGUGAAAUCCCCGGGCUCAACCUGGGAACUGCAUUUGUGACUGCAUCGCUGGAGUGCGGCAGAGGGGGAUGGAAUUCCGCGUGUAGCAGUGAAAUGCGUAGAUAUCUGGAGGAAUACCGGUGGCGAAGGCGGCAUCCUGGACCGGCAUUGACGCUGAGGAGCGAAAGCCAGGGGAGCAAACGGG
This 253-nucleotide ribosomal RNA is filed under the name uncultured bacterium. Its description in RNAcentral is "partial 16S ribosomal RNA". It matches the Rfam family "Bacterial small subunit ribosomal RNA", at positions 524 to 776 of the family's 1533-position model. The record is from RNAcentral.